GGGUUUGAUCCUGGCUCAGAACGAACGCUGGCGGCAUGCCUAACACAUGCAAGUCGAACGAAGGCUUCGGCCUUAGUGGCGCACGGGUGCGUAACGCGUGGGAAUCUGCCUUUGGGUGCGGAAUAACUCAGAGAAAUUUGAGCUAAUACCGCAUAAUGACUCCGGUCCAAAGAUUUAUCGCCCAAAGAUGAGCCCGCGUAGGAUUAGCUAGUUGGUGGGGUAAAGGCCUACCAAGGCGACGAUCCUUAGCUGGUCUGAGAGGAUGAUCAGCCACACUGGGACUGAGACACGGCCCAGACUCCUACGGGAGGCAGCAGUGGGGAAUAUUGGACAAUGGGCGAAAGCCUGAUCCAGCAAUGCCGCGUGAGUGAUGAAGGCCUUAGGGUUGUAAAGCUCUUUUACCCGGGAUGAUAAUGACAGUACCGGGAGAAUAAGCUCCGGCUAACUCCGUGCCAGCAGCCGCGGUAAUACGGAGGGAGCUAGCGUUGUUCGGAAUUAUUGGGCGUAAAGAGCUCGUAGGCGGUUUGUUGCGUCGGCUGUGAAAACCUGAGGCUCAACCUCAGGCCUGCAGUCGAUACGAGCAGACUA
This 588-nucleotide ribosomal RNA is filed under the name uncultured bacterium. Its description in RNAcentral is "bacterial SSU rRNA". It matches the Rfam family "Bacterial small subunit ribosomal RNA", at positions 9 to 643 of the family's 1533-position model. The record is from RNAcentral.